GACGAACGCUGGCGGCGUGCCUAAUACAUGCAAGUAGAACGCACAGUUUAUACCGUAGCUUGCUACACCAUAGACUGUGAGUUGCGAACGGGUGAGUAACGCGUAGGUAACCUGCCUGGUAGCGGGGGAUAACUAUUGGAAACGAUAGCUAAUACCGCAUAAUAUUAAUUAUUGCAUGAUAAUUAAUUUAAAGGUGCAAUUGCACCACUACCAGAUGGACCUGCGUUGUAUUAGCUAGUAGGUGAGGUAACGGCUCACCUAGGCGACGAUACAUAGCCGACCUGGGAGGGUGAUCGGCCACACUGGGACUGAGACAGGGCCCAGACUACUACGGGAGGCAGCAGUAGGGAAUCUUCGGCAAUGGACGAAAGUCUGACCGAGCAACGCCGAGUGAGUGAAGAAGGUUUUCGGAUCGUAAAGCUCUGUUGUAAGAGAAGAACGGGUGUGAGAGUGGAAAGUUCACACUGUGACGGUAUCUUACCAGAAAGGGACGGCUAACUACGUG
Molecule: ribosomal RNA, 505 nt
Filed under: uncultured bacterium
Lineage: Bacteria
Description: partial 16S ribosomal RNA
Rfam family: Bacterial small subunit ribosomal RNA
Source: RNAcentral